GAUGAACGCUGACAGAAUGCCUAACACAUGCAAGUCGAUGGGGAAGUGGUGCUUGCACCAUGGCAACCAUGGCGGACGGGUGAGUAACGCGUAAGGGACUUACCUGCAGGACUGGGAUAACAGGGGGAAACUCCUGACAAGACCGGAUAAUGUCAUGGAGCUGCAUGGCUUUAUGAUGAAAGGAGACGCCUGCGGAGAGCCUUGCGUCCUAUUAGCUAGUUGGUGAGGUAAUGGCUCACCAAGGCGAAGAUAGGUAGCCGGCCUGAGAGGGUGGACGGCCACAAGGGGACUGAGAUACGGCCCUUACUCCUACGGGAGGCAGCAGUGGGGAAUAUUGGACAAUGGGGGCAACCCUGAUCCAGCAAUUCUGUGUGCACGAAGAAGGUUUUCGGAUUGUAAAGUGCUUUCAGAAGGGAAGAAGUAAGUGACGGUACCUGCAGAAGAAGCGACGGCUAAAUACGUG
This 463-nucleotide ribosomal RNA is filed under the name uncultured bacterium. Its description in RNAcentral is "partial 16S ribosomal RNA". It matches the Rfam family "Bacterial small subunit ribosomal RNA", at positions 28 to 507 of the family's 1533-position model. The record is from RNAcentral.